AACGAACGCUGGCGGCAUGCCUUACACAUGCAAGUCGAACGGCAGCGCGGGGCAACCUGGCGGCGAGUGGCGAACGGGUGAGUAAUAUAUCGGAACAUACCCUAGAGUGGGGGAUAACGUAGCGAAAGUUACGCUAAUACCGCAUACGCACUAAGGUGGAAAGUGGGGGAUUCGCAAGAACCUCAUGCUUAUGGAGUGGCCGAUAUCUGAUUAGCUAGUUGGUGAGGUAAAGGCUCACCAAGGCAACGAUCAGUAGCUGGUUUGAGAGAACGACCAGCCACACUGGAACUGAGACACGGUCCAGACUCCUACGGGAGGCAGCAGUGGGGAAUUUUGGACAAAUUGGGGGGGCAACCCUGAUCCAGCAAUGCCGCGUGAGUGAAGAAGGCC
This 390-nucleotide ribosomal RNA is filed under the name uncultured bacterium. RNAcentral's name for it is "bacterial SSU rRNA". It matches the Rfam family "Bacterial small subunit ribosomal RNA", at positions 29 to 416 of the family's 1533-position model. The record is from RNAcentral.